RNAcentral lists this ribosomal RNA (324 nucleotides) under uncultured bacterium. RNAcentral describes it as "bacterial SSU rRNA". It matches the Rfam family "Bacterial small subunit ribosomal RNA", at positions 28 to 334 of the family's 1533-position model. The record is from RNAcentral.
GAUGAACGCUGGCGGCGUGCCUAACACAUGCAAGUCGAGCGAAGCAUUUAACAUGAAGUUUUCGGAUGGAAUGUUAUCUGACUGAGCGGCGGACGGGUGAGUAACGCGUGGGUAACCUGCCUUAUACAGGGGGAUAACAGUUAGAAAUGACUGCUAAUACCGCAUAAGCGCACAGUACCGCAUGGUAGUGUGUGAAAAACUCCGGUGGUAUAAGAUGGACCCGCGUCUGAUUAGCCAGUUGGCGGGGUAACGGCCCACCAAAGCGACGAUCAGUAGCCGACCUGAGAGGGUGACCGGCCACAUUGGGACUGAGACACGGCCCAA